Non-coding RNA from Paramuricea clavata, 264 nucleotides. The record is from the annotation of a GenBank genome assembly. NCBI's taxonomy places the organism in Eukaryota, Metazoa, Cnidaria, Anthozoa, Malacalcyonacea, Plexauridae.
GACAUAUUAAAUAUCUUUUGUCUCAUAGACCAAUCAGAUUUACAACUGAAAUACGGUUGUAAAGGCGGAUUUCCAGUCCUCGCACGAAGCUCCUCGCUGCGAGUGAUGCCUCAGCACUUUCAUCCAAUCACAAUGCUAAACAGUUAAUUUUAAUUAGAUGCAAGCACUCGCAGCGAGCUGCGAGGAGCUUCGUGUGAGGACUGGAAAACCACCUUUAAGCAUGGACUUUUGUUAAGGUUUGUAUCAGACCUAUUUAUUUAGGCC